This 642-nucleotide ribosomal RNA is filed under the name Escherichia coli. Its description in RNAcentral is "bacterial SSU rRNA". It matches the Rfam family "Bacterial small subunit ribosomal RNA", at positions 105 to 743 of the family's 1533-position model. The record is from RNAcentral. Lineage: Bacteria; Pseudomonadati; Pseudomonadota; Gammaproteobacteria; Enterobacterales; Enterobacteriaceae.
GGUGAGUAAUGUCUGGGAAACUGCCUGAUGGAGGGGGAUAACUACUGGAAACGGUAGCUAAUACCGCAUAACGUCGCAAGACCAAAGAGGGGGACCUUCGGGCCUCUUGCCAUCGGAUGUGCCCAGAUGGGAUUAGCUAGUAGGUGGGGUAACGGCUCACCUAGGCGACGAUCCCUAGCUGGUCUGAGAGGAUGACCAGCCACACUGGAACUGAGACACGGUCCAGACUCCUACGGGAGGCAGCAGUGGGGAAUAUUGCACAAUGGGCGCAAGCCUGAUGCAGCCAUGCCGCGUGUAUGAAGAAGGCCUUCGGGUUGUAAAGUACUUUCAGCGGGGAGGAAGGGAGUAAAGUUAAUACCUUUGCUCAUUGACGUUACCCGCAGAAGAAGCACCGGCUAACUCCGUGCCAGCAGCCGCGGUAAUACGGAGGGUGCAAGCGUUAAUCGGAAUUACUGGGCGUAAAGCGCACGCAGGCGGUUUGUUAAGUCAGAUGUGAAAUCCCCGGGCUCAACCUGGGAACUGCAUCUGAUACUGGCAAGCUUGAGUCUCGUAGAGGGGGGUAGAAUUCCAGGUGUAGCGGUGAAAUGCGUAGAGAUCUGGAGGAAUACCGGUGGCGAAGGCGGCCCCCUGGACGAAGACUGA